Molecule: long non-coding RNA, 825 nt
Organism: Homo sapiens (human)
Lineage: Eukaryota; Metazoa; Chordata; Mammalia; Primates; Hominidae
Source: Ensembl
GGGGAAGUUUUCGCAAUGGCCGCCGGAACGGUCGCCGGCCGAUGCUCUCUGCGACGGAAAGAAAGCCGCCGGACCCACUUCCGGUGCGUUUUACAAUGAACUCCGGGCACUCGAGUCGCUCCCCGGAAACUAUAGUUCUGCUUCCACCGUUGUCCUACUUUGGAUAGCAUCAAGACAAAAAUCUCAGUCUUCGAGGAACUCACAGUGUAGCAGAAAAGACAAAGGAGGUAAACAGGAGGAGGCCAGGCUUGAAGAAUUGUAUAUGCCCAAAAGGAUAUGGGGACUUGACUAUGAUCCAGCGUCAACAGCACAGUCUGGGACCGAAGGGGAGAUUUACCAUCAAACAGACAUGAAUAAUUCAUCUUGAUGUAAUCAUGCAAGACUCCUAAGAAGAUGUUAGGAGACCCUGUCAUCAUUCUUUUGGCCUCUAGUGUCCUUUAUCUUCAUGUUUGCUGGCUUCCUUUUACUACUAUGGAAAUACAACAUAUGCAAAAGUAGUGUUUUCACUGUUUAAAAACAUCGUCAGCAGCAUCAUCAUCAUUAACUGCACCAGGAAGCCAUGACUCCUUUCUGGACAAGGUGCACUUGCCUGUCAUCCUUCCAUCUCUUUCUUCCUCCUUGAAGUUCACAAUACCCAGUCCAGGAGCAUUGCAGAGAAUGCUAGGUGUGUCUGCAGACUUGACUUUAAAAGAAAACAAGUUCCUUCAAGUGAGUUCAUCAUGAUGGGAAUGAUAAUUUGUUUGAGAGAAUGUGUGUUCUUUGGCAAAGGAACUCCUGUUAUACCAUGACAGUAAUAAUAGCAGUAAUAAAAUCACCAAUAAUAAA